Molecule: ribosomal RNA, 497 nt
Filed under: uncultured bacterium
Lineage: Bacteria
Description: partial 16S ribosomal RNA
Rfam family: Bacterial small subunit ribosomal RNA
Source: RNAcentral
GAUGAACGCUGGCGGCGUGCUUAAUACAUGCAAGUCGAGCGGACGGACCCUACUCUUGCUUCUCUGUUGUUAGCGGCGGACGUGUGUGUCACACGUGUAUCACCUACCUAUCAUUCUGGUAUCACUUCGGGACACCGGCUCUAAUCCCGUAUAAUAUUUUGCUGCGCAUGGUUCAAAAGUGAAAUACGGUCUUUCUGUCACUUAUAGAUGCUUCCGCGCUGCAUUAGCUAGUUGUUAAGUUAACGGCUUACCAAGGCAACGAUGCAUAGACGACCUGAGAGGGUGAUAGGCCACACGGGAAGUGAGACAGGGACAAGACGCCUAAGGGAGGCAGCAGUAGGGAAUCUGACGCAAUGGGCGAAAGCAUGACGGAGCAAGGCCGCGUGAGUGAUGAAGGUCUUCGGAUCGUAAAGAUCUGUUAUUAGGGAAGAACAUAUGUGGAAGUAACUGUGCACAGAGUGACGGUAACGAAUAAGAAAGCCACGGCUAACUACGUG